GAUUUAAAAAGCGAUGGGGCUCGCUUAAUGCAGAAGAAAUGCUGAUGGCUCCUACCUUUUU
This is a regulatory RNA element of 61 nucleotides. It matches the Rfam family "Fluoride riboswitch aptamer (crcB RNA motif)". The record is from Rfam.